AUGGCAGCUGCGGCCGCCUCGCUGCUACUACUGCAGUGCGUGGUCACCAUGCUCGCCGGUGCCGCCACGGCCGACGCCCAAUAUUCCGCCCAGACCUUCGCCGACCUCCAGAACGCGGCCCGCGCCGACGUGGGAGUCGCGCCGCUGGCGUGGGAUGACACCCUGGCAGGCUACGCCCAGAGAUACGCCGGCGAGAGGAAAGGCGACUGCAAGCUCGUGCACUCCGACGGGCCCUAUGGCGAGAGCAUAUUCUGGGGCAACAAGGGCGGUAACUGGACGGCCAGCGACGCGGUGGCCGUGUGGGUCCAGGAGAAGCAGUACUACAACUGCAGCGACGGCUCGUGUGCCGCGGGAAAAAUCUGCUCUCAUUACACGCAGAUCGUGUGGGCUAACACCACCCGGGUCGGGUGCGCCGCCGUGGCCUGCGACGGGAACCUUGGUACGUUCAUCCUUUGUGAGUACGACCCCCGAGGGAACGUGCCGGGUGUCCGGCCGUAUGCCGGCUGCGGCCAGUUCAACCGCUCAGCGCAGAGUUCACCUCAAGAUUUCCUCAACCUCCAGAACGCGGCCAGAGCCGGCGUUGGCGUGGGCAUGCUCUCGUGGGACAGCACGGUGGCGGCCUACGCCGAAGGCUACGCGGAGAAGAGGAAGGGCGAUUGCCGCAAAGUCUCCUCCGGCGGGCCGUAUGGCGAGAACAUCUUCCAAGGCGGCACAGGCAUCAGCUGGACCGUCUCGGACGCCUUGUUCUCCUGGCUCGGAGAGAAGCAGAAGUACGACUGCGCAAGCAACGCGUGCAAGGAGGGGCAGGCCUGCGGGGAGUACACCCAGCUUGUCUGGGCCAACUCAACCAGAGUUGGUUGCGCGAGCGUAACCUGCGAAGGCGGGGGCACGUUCAUCACCUGCAACUACGACCCGCCUGGCAAUAUCGCCGGCGAGCGUCCCUAUUUGGGCUGCGGAGGGCAAGCUGGCGGAACUCCGCCGCCAACUUCCGACAAAGUAAAUGGUACUGCGGCCAACGGAAAUGGCAAUGGCUCAAAUGCAAACAGCAGCAACCCAAGAAGAAAUGGCAGUAGCCCUGCAAUCCUGCCAAUCGUCCUUCCAGUGGUAACAAGUCUUCGUUUAAUCUCAGCUAUAUCAAUUUACAUAUGGAUAAAGAGACCGAGUCCGAAGAAGACACUAUCAUAUACAGCUUGUUCAGAAGAUAUUGAAGAUAUUAAAUCGGUGCUACUGGACCCAUCAGUAAUAAGAACAGCAACGAGUAAUUUUUCUGAAGAAAAUAAACUGGGGGAAGGAGGAUUUGGUCAAGUUUAUAAGGGUAUGAUGCCAGAUGGACAAGAAAUAGCAGUAAAAAGAUUAUCGGAAGUAUCAAAACAAGGCCUUCCUGAGCUAAAAAAUGAGCUGCUAUUAGUUGCCAAGCUUCAGCACCGUAAUCUGGUGAAGUUAAUAGGCGCUUGCCUCGAUGGAGAGGACAAGUUACUUGUGUAUGAAUAUAUCCCAAAGAAAAGUCUUGAUGCCUUUAUUUUCGAUGACGAAAAGCGUGGAAAAUUAGCUUGGGAUACACGAUACAAGAUCAUUUGUGGUAUUGCUCGAGGCUUGGCAUAUCUACAUGACGAGUCCCGUAUAAAAGUUAUACAUAGAGACCUGAAGCCAAGCAAUAUAUUACUAGAAAUGGGUAUGAAUCCAAAGAUCUCUGACUUUGGUUUGGCAAGUGUUUUUGAGGGUGAUCAUACAAAGCAUAUUACAAGAAGAGUAGCUGGAACCUAUGGAUAUAUGGCACCAGAAUAUGCGGUUCUUGGACAUGUUUCAACCAAAUCAGAUGUGUUCAGCUUUGGAAUGAUCAUUCUAGAAAUCGUGACGGGGAGGAGAAACAGUGUAUCGUCUGAAACAAUGAUGGCUGAGCAUCUUUUAACCUAUGUAUGGGAGAACUGGAACAGGGGGAGAAAAGCUGAGAUAGUUGAUCCAUCAUUGCACUACAACUAUUCUGAAAGUGAGGUUCUCAACUGUGUACACAUUGGACUAUUAUGUGUUCAAGAGAGUCCAAGUGAUAGACCCGGCAUCUCCAAUGUGAUCCUCAUGCUUGUUGGAAGGUCUACUACCUUGCCUGCUCCUUCCAGGCCUGCUUUUCUAUUUAGGUUGAAUAAUGAGAACCAUGUCCAUGGUGAUCUCAAUGACCUACUAGAUGACUCGAACAAAUCAAAUCCAUCAUUCAAUAAGUUGACAAUCACAGAAUUCGAACCAAGAUAG
Molecule: ribosomal RNA, 2244 nt
Filed under: Triticum aestivum (bread wheat)
Lineage: Eukaryota; Viridiplantae; Streptophyta; Magnoliopsida; Poales; Poaceae
Description: partial small subunit ribosomal RNA
Source: RNAcentral